Molecule: ribosomal RNA, 198 nt
Filed under: uncultured bacterium
Lineage: Bacteria
Description: partial 16S ribosomal RNA
Rfam family: Bacterial small subunit ribosomal RNA
Source: RNAcentral
ACGCUCGACACCUACGAGGCAGCAGUUGGGAAUAUUGGACAAUGGAGGAAACUCUGAUCCAGUGACGCCGCGUGAAGGAAGAAGGUCUUCGGAUUGUAAACUUAUUUUGUCAGGGAAGAAAAAAUGACUGUACCUGAAGAAAAAGCACCGGCUAACUACGUGCAAGCAGCCGCGGUAAUCUGAGCGGGCUGGCAAGGC